Long non-coding RNA from Sinocyclocheilus anshuiensis, 83 nucleotides. RefSeq lists it as uncharacterized. The record is from RefSeq and is a predicted model, not a curated record. The transcript has 3 exons. Lineage: Eukaryota; Metazoa; Chordata; Actinopteri; Cypriniformes; Cyprinidae.
AAAGAGAGAGAGAGAUGCAGAGCAUGUGAAGAGCAGGGGCAACGCGAGGAACGGUAUUAAGAACCGCUUUAAUCAGAAUCAAA